Molecule: ribosomal RNA, 440 nt
Filed under: uncultured bacterium
Lineage: Bacteria
Description: partial 16S ribosomal RNA
Rfam family: Bacterial small subunit ribosomal RNA
Source: RNAcentral
CCUACGGGAGGCAGCAGUAAGGGAUAUUGGUCAAUGGAGGAAACCCUGAACCAGCAACGCCGCGUGAGGGAAGACGGUUUUCGGAUUGUAAACCUCUGUCCUCUGUGAAGAUGAUGACGGUAGCAGAGGAGGAAGCUCCGGCUAACUACGUGCCAGCAGCCGCGGUAAUACGUAGGGAGCGAGCGUUGUCCGGAUUUACUGGGUGUAAAGGGUGCGUAGGCGGCUUGGCAAGUCAGUAGUGAAAUCCAUGGGCUUAACCCAUGAACUGCUAUUGAAACUGUGGAGCUUGAGUGAAGUAGAGGUAGGCGGAAUUCCCGGUGUAGCGGUGAAAUGCGUAGAGAUCGGGAGGAACACCAGUGGCGAAGGCGGCCUUCUGGGCUUUAACUGACGCUGAGGCACGAAAGCGUGGGGAGCAAACAGGAUUAGAUACCCGGGUAGUC